Molecule: long non-coding RNA, 1819 nt
Organism: Trichoplusia ni (cabbage looper)
Lineage: Eukaryota; Metazoa; Arthropoda; Insecta; Lepidoptera; Noctuidae
Exons: 2
Source: RefSeq, a predicted model, not a curated record
UGGUCGUUUUUUUAGCAUUGUGAACUAAUGAGGAAGAUUGUUAUAAAGUUUAAUUAAAAGCUGUCCAGAUGACAUUUUGACCGAUAGGUAUGCUAAUAGUUAAGAAAAGCGAGCUUAAAGUUUAAAAGAAAACUACGAUACAACAUAAUAUUCAUUUUUAUCGCAGAGAACAAAAAAAUGCUUAGACACUUAAUAAAAAAGUAUGAUUUCUCUUUCCUUUUCUGGUUUCUGACAAUAAAAACUGAUGAUAUAUUGCCACUUAAUGUACUCUGUACUACGUUAAGAUACAGAGGUAAAAAUAUAGCAUUAAUUCAACCUUCAAUGUGGGAAAAUAAACUUAUGCACUGGUCACUCAGUAUUCUGGCUCCUGUCAAAAAGCUGUCAGUGAUCCUUGUAUGUUUUUAUAGCUGGCUGGGUAGGUAUUCAAUUCACCCACACUAUCACAAGUUGCGAAGCGCCAAAGCAACUUCAUGCCAAGUUGUGCUGUGCCUUUUAGUGCUCUUAUUUUAUUUACCUGUUCCGUUUGGACUCAUUGGAGAUCAAGCAAAGAGUAUAGUAAUACAGUAUGGAGAUCAAGUAACAGAGGUUAUACCAGUUCAAUAUGUUAAAUUUUAACUAAACGUGUUGUUGUGGUGAACAAACAGACAAGUUUCCAGUUAUGUUGACUGUCAAUGUAUAAAUAAAUUAAUCCUCAAUAUUUUACUUAUAUUUAAAAGUAAGAUAAAGUUAACAUAAACUAUUAUGAUCUGAUAAAAAUUUAUCUGAAGCAAACUAGCAAAAAAAAAUAUAAAAAGAAAAAUGGCGGAAAAACCAGAGCCACCAGUCAUUACUACUCAACCCAUAAACAACCCUGAAGCACUUGCUUCUGAUAACGAGCUUCAUGAGUUAAUCAAACAACAGAAUGCGGACAUGUCUCAAAAAGACCCAAACAAAUUACUAGAACAAGAAGAAGUACAGAAGAAGGCAAGAGAAGACUGCUGUCAUGGUGAGGACUUCUCAAACUGUAUAGAUAUGUGUAUUGAGGCUAUAAGAUGCACUGUUUUGCAUAAUUGUUUCACGGUACCCUGGUGUAAUAACGGAUGUUGUGAUGAUGGUUGCUGUCACGCUGGUUGUGGUGAUGAGUGCUGUUGUGACGGCGAGUGUUGUACCGGAUGCUGUGAGGCCUGUUGUGAUGAUGGCUGUGCCAAUUGUCUCGAAGCCUGCUUCUCUUGCGGCGUGUGUGUUGAUGUUUAGUCAUUAUCAAUAGAAAAUUGAAGCUAGCUGUAUUUGUUAAUUUUGCGCUUCCAUGACAGUUUUAUAUGCUACUUAUAUUUUCUAAAGGUUUUAUUAUUGUGCUAAGGAUGAAGUUUAUUGUGUGUUUUUGCACUUAUUUUGUAUGAAUUAUAUUAUAUGGCUGUUAUAAAUUCAGACUAAUUGAAGUGCUUAUUAGUGUAAGGGAAAGUAAAUGACAACAUUUUCCAAAUUUUCUUGGGAGGAUGAGUUUAAUUCGAAUGCUUUUAAUUGAAUCUCUGUCCAUGUUUGUACUGUAAACAACAAUUUAGUUAUAUUUUUAUUUUUGUUAGAUUGUUUUUAUUCGAAAUUCAAUAUUUAACAUAUUGUAAAGGUUAUUUUUUUUAAUAAUUGUAUUUAUGCUAAUCAUAAUUAUAAAGAUUAUUAUAGAACUGAUAACUGUGCCAACUGUUGUUGUACUGAUAAGUAUGAUGAACAAUUACUAUAAUAAUAUUAUAUUAGAAAUAAGGGAAAUGCUUUUAUUUCAUAUAUUAAAGUUUAUCAAUGUUUGAUGUUACCUGCAUUACAAAUGCAACUGAUUUAUAACUAA